UAGGGAAUCUUCCACAAUGGACGCAAGUCUGAUGGAGCAACGCCGCGUGAGUGAAGAAGGUCUUCGGAUCGUAAAGCUCUGUUGUUGGUGAAGAAGGAUAGAGGCAGUAACUGGUCUUUAUUUGACGGUAUCAACCAGAAAGUCACGGCUAACUACGUGCCAGCAGCCGCGGUAAUACGUAGGUGGCAAGCGUUGUCCGGAUUUAUUGGGCGUAAAGCGAGCGCAGGCGGAAUGAUAAGUCUGAUGUGAAAGCCCACGGCUCAACCGUGGAACUGCAUCGGAAACUGUCAUUCUUGAGUGCAGAAGAGGAGAGUGGACUCCAUGUGUAGCGGUGGAAUGCGUAGAUAUAUGGAAGAACACCAGUGGCGAAGGCGGCUCUCUGGUCUGCAACUGACGCUGAGGCUCG
RNAcentral lists this ribosomal RNA (406 nucleotides) under Lactobacillus sp. D09_68. Its description in RNAcentral is "bacterial SSU rRNA". It matches the Rfam family "Bacterial small subunit ribosomal RNA", at positions 355 to 755 of the family's 1533-position model. Lineage: Bacteria; Bacillati; Bacillota; Bacilli; Lactobacillales; Lactobacillaceae. The record is from RNAcentral.